Molecule: ribosomal RNA, 573 nt
Filed under: uncultured bacterium
Lineage: Bacteria
Description: bacterial SSU rRNA
Rfam family: Bacterial small subunit ribosomal RNA
Source: RNAcentral
GAGCGGCCUUUCUCCUAUCAGCUUGUUGGCGAGGUAAUGGCUCACCAAGGCUAUGACGGGUACCGGGAUUGAGAGAUCGAUCCGGCACAUCGGAACUGAGACACUGUCCGGACCUCCACGGAGGGCUGCAGUAACGAAUAUUGGGCAAUGGGCGCAAGCCUGACCCAGCGACGCCGCGUGAAGGAUGAAGUCCUUCGGGAUGUAAACUUCUUUUAGGGUGCUGAAAGUCCGCAAGGAUUGAUCUAACCCAGAAAAAGUCACGGCUAACUCUGUGCCAGCAGCCGCGGUAAUACAGAGGUGGCAAGCGUUGUUCGGAAUCACUGGGCUUAAAGCGUGUGUAGGCAGAUCAGAAAGUGUUUUGUGAAAUCCCUCGUCUCAACCGAGGAAUUGCUGGGCAAACUACUGAUCUUGAGGUAGGCAGGGGUGCUUGGAACUCUUGGUGGAGCGGUGAAAUGCGUAGAUAUCAAGAGGAACGCCUGUGGUGAAAACGGAGCACUGGGCCUAUUCUGACGCUGAGACACGAAAGCGUGGGGAGUGAACGGGAUUAGAUACCCCGGUAAUCCACGCUGUAAA